UGCCAGGUCCUAAGCAACUAUCCGCUAAAAUUGUCGUGACUUUCAUUUCUUAUGCUGCAUGAGAAAAAACUUUGUAUGAGCUAUUCAAUUACGCUUAGCGAAGCAAUGAGUGCAAUUAAGUGAAAUUAUGUAUGGUGCGAGUUAAGUGCAAAUGACUUGGAGAUAUUCCCAAGCAGAAGGUGAGAAAAUUUAUGGCGAAUGAAAAUGCGGAAGAGGAGGCGCUUGAGGUGUAGAUAAAAAGAGGUGUUAAUUGGAGGCACUAGCUAGAGGAGA
Molecule: long non-coding RNA, 273 nt
Organism: Drosophila arizonae
Lineage: Eukaryota; Metazoa; Arthropoda; Insecta; Diptera; Drosophilidae
Source: RefSeq, a predicted model, not a curated record